This 7426-nucleotide long non-coding RNA is filed under the name Panax ginseng (ginseng). Its description in RNAcentral is "long non-coding RNA (PGIN_LNC002269)". Lineage: Eukaryota; Viridiplantae; Streptophyta; Magnoliopsida; Apiales; Araliaceae. The record is from RNAcentral.
UUUAUUUCAAUAAAUAAAUUAAUUAAAAUAUUUAUUUAAUUCAAUAAAUAUUUAAAUUUAAUUAUAAAAUUUCUCGAUCGUUACACCAAGUCUCGAAACUAUUACUAAUACACUUCAUAACGUAAUCCAAAACACAGCUUAAAUCAUAACAUUAAUUAAGUCUUAAUAAAUAACCACACUUAGGUCUUAUUACAUAACCAACAUUAAGUUUUAAUACAUAGUCAUAAGAUUCAAAUUAUAACAUAGAAGGACAAAGCUACUCCAUAGCCUUGCCUUUGCCCUUAUCCUGGUUUGAAGUUCCGCAUCAUUCUGUCUUACUGAAAUGUUUAAAGGAAGCAAGAAUAAGUAACAAAUUUGCCUAGCGAGUAAUAUAACAAUAAAUGUGAAUAAGUGAAUAUCAAUGGUUCCAAAUCUAUACUUUGAAGUUAAUAACAAGCCACUAUGGAUUGAAAGAUUUCGAAAGCAUUCGAAGGUUUCAACAAUUUCAAGUGAAUGAAUAGAUGUCACUGAAUGUUGCUAUGGACCAAGAAUUAUUAAAAGAAUGCUGAGAUUUCAGCAAUUUCCAAGUUAAUAAAUAUUGAAUAGUGAGUAGUCGCUAUAGACCGUGAACUUCAGCUAUAAUUAACAAUAUUACACUGAUAAUCCAAUAUAAGCAAGUACAAUAGGUGAUCAGCCUACCGUACCUGGUGUUAUGCAUAACGUACCCUGCUGUUUGCGUGAAUCUCGGUUCCCCGACGUUGUAUAGUUUCCCCUUCUAUGAGGGUUGUUCAUCUUAGUAGAUUAUAAAAGUCUGCACCAAGGCAAUUUAUUUGAAUCGCUUUCUAAUUCAUAGAUAUUGGUCUAGCUGAAACAAAUGACAUAUACGAUUUUCUUAACACACUUAGGAAUAAUACGUUCAACGUUCGCAAUAAAAUUCAAAGAAUCAUUUUCAAAGAUGUAAGUAUGAUUUAAAUCAAGUUUCAGAGUAUGGAUAAUAAUUUUCAUGAAUUUAGAUAACACAAGAAUUAUUCUAUAGAACAAUUUGCUUAUACAAUCAAUAAGUGUACAAGUUCAUAUAUUUGCUCAAUAUAUAUGGUUGAUAUAACAACAAUUAGAACCUUGCACAAUAUCCAAGAUUGUGUAAGUUAGGGAACUUGCAUUUAAUAUGAAAAUCAAAUGAAGUUAGGAAACUUGCUCAAUAUGGGUGUAGUUAAUAUAAUCAAUAAUUAAGAAACUUGCACAAUAUACGAAGUUAUGUAAGUUAAGGAACUUGCGUAGUCAUAGAUUUCUUGCAUUAAGUAAAUGAAUAGGUUAAGAUACUGGAACAAUAGAAACAUUUANNNNNNNNNNNNNNNNNNNNNNNNNNNNNNNNNNNNNNNNNNNNNNNNNNNNNNNNNNNNNNNNNNNNNNNNNNNNNNNNNNNNNNNNNNNNNNNNNNNNAUAUUGGUCUAGCCGAAUCAAAUGGCAUAGAAUCUCUUUUCAACACACUUAGGAAUAAUUAAUACGUUUAACGUUUGCAACAAGAUUCAAAUAAUCAAUUUCAAAAAUGUAAGUAUAAUUUAAAUCAAGCUUCAGAGUACGAAUAAUAAUUUUCAUGAAUUUAGAUAACACAAACUAUUUCAUAGAAAAAUUUGCUUAUACGAUCAAUAAAUGUACAAGCCCAGACAUUUGCUCAAUAUAUGGUUGAUAUAACGACAAUUUGAAACUUGCACAAUAUUCAAGGUUGUGAAAAAUUUAGGGAACUUGCAUUCAAUAUGAAAAUCGAAUGAAGUUAGGAAACUUGCUCAAUAUGGUGUAGUUAAUAUAACAAUAAUUAAGAAACUUUCACAAUAUAUGAAGUUGUUUAAGUUAGAGAACUUGCACUAUAUAUAGCAGUUAGUAUAACAAUAAUUCAUUUACUCAAAGUGAGAGAACUUGCACAAUGCACAAAGUAGUGUAAGUUAUAAAACUUGCACCAUAUAUAGCAAUUGGUAUAACAAUAAUUUGUUUACUCAAAGUGAGGGAACUUGCACAAUGCACAAAGUUGUGUAAGUUAGAAAACUUGCACCAUAUAUAGCAAUUGGUAUAACAAUAAUUCAUUUAAUCAAAGUGAGGGAACUUACACAAUGUAGAAAGUUGUGUAAGUUAGAGAACUUGCCUUUCGCGUAGAUUACCAAUUUAUAGCUUAACGUCACUUCAACGUUCUACAUUAUUUUAGUUACGCAUAUAUACUCAUUCAUUAGUUAUACAAACUCGAUAUGUAAACCAAUCAUCCCACACACAUAUAAUACUCAUGUUCAAUCACAUAUGCUAAGCACAUAUAUUUAGUCAUAUAUUUAGUGUACUAUUAAAACCAUGUAGUUGCAUUUUACUCUUGCUUUUGUCUUUAAAAGUUUUAUCUAGAAACUUUGUAGAACUUGUUAAAUCUUGAUUCUAUAUUGACAUUACAUGAUUGAAUACUUAAAAUACCACUUCAAACAUGUAUUACAUCUUACGAAAGUAUUAUACGCAUGCUUCAAGUCUUAGAUCAUAGUUAAAACAAUCAGACAACACUGGCAUGCGGCGCGGCCGCGCUGCAUUAUAACCUGAGAGUGGCGCAGUUGCGCUGCUCCCUGGUCAGACCAGAGUUGAGUUUUAGUUUUCAAAAUCACAACUUACUUUCUAGCACACCGUGACACUGAUACAUACAAUAUUCACAUGUUAAAAGGUCUUGAACUAGGUUUGAUGUCUCUUAUGUUCAAUUUAAGUUUAUUUUCUCAUGUUAUGGUUUUCACUUUGAAAUUUCCCUCUAACAAGGCUAAUUGGGUUCAUGUAACAAAGGACUAACUAUGAUAACCAUUAAACCACAUAACGAGGCUAAUAAACCUUUAACACACAUGCUCAAAAUCAUUCAACUCGUGUAUUCAAAGUUAACAUAGCUUUAUUCUUGAAAGUUAUUGUAAAUCAUGCUUGAGUAGUUCAUAUCGUGCCUAACUAGAUGGGUGCACAUAUUAAUCGUGUUUAGAGGCAUAAAGUGUCCUAUCAUAUUAUCUCAUAAAGUCAGAACAUAAUUAACACAAUGCUUAUCGAUAUUAGUUUUCAAAACUUCCAAGUUUUCUUUAAAAAACAUUCUAAACAACAUAUUAUAUAAAAAGCAAUUUGAAACCACAUUUCAUACCCAUUUGUACACAUAACUAAACCAUACACAUAUGCUAAAAAGGUCAUAACUCAAAGGACAAGAGGCUCAUCAAGGUUUGUUUUUAAAGCUUCUGUGUUUUCCUUGAAAAAUCGAUACUAAACCAUGCUAAAGUAAUAUAUUACAUGCACGAUAACUUGAAUCAUCAUAUCAGACUUAUUUAUGAAUCUAACUAGGUUAUACUCAUAUGCUCAGAACAUCAGAAGCAACAAAAAUUCAUUUUCAAGGGCUGGCAGCCGGCGCGACCGCGUUGGUUUGUACUAGGGAAGUGGCGCGGCCGCCUCACUUCGGGACAGGUCCAGACUGCGCUCUUUUUCUGCAAAAUCCCAUAACAUAAACCAAUUAGGCCUUCUAAUUUGUAACUCAGACAGCCAUAUUGCUUCUUAAACAUACAUAAGAACUCAGAUAACAUGUUGACAUCAAUUCCUUAAUCAAUUAACAAGUAAUUCAUGAAAUUUUUAGGAAUUUAUCAAACUCACAAAAUUAUACAUUCUUUCAUUAUGACCACAUAAUCAUUAUGCUUUCACCAUUCUAUACUUGAUUUAUGCUUACAGAAAUGUAGAGUAAUUAGAAUUAAGUACCUUAGAUGAUUUUCCUUAAUUAAUAGUAUGUUUCUUCUUCUUAUUGCCUUACCAAAAGCAAGAGUUGCUCUUGAAAUUCUCCUUAUCUCUCAACUCACACUAAAUCUCUCUAUAUCUCAGCAAAAUGUAGCAGCCUUGAAUCAUGAAGGGGGACUCCUACUUAUAGAAAAAUCAUUACUCAACAAUCUAGUUAUUAACCAAAGGAAAAAAGGGAAAUUGGUGUAAAGCUUCACCAAAUCUCCACCUUUAUGAUGAUUAGCCCACAUGGGAUUUCUUGCAAACAAUUUUAGGGAAGAAUUUCCAGCAUUUUGUUCAUAAGGAAGAGCUUGGUAAAGUAGGGAGAUAGGCCAUUGGCCUAUACACGACUGAAGCAAAUUUUGGGACUAUGAUUAUGGGACAAGAGCUUUAACUUACUGCAUUAGCAAAAUGGAUACUAGCAUUUUUAAUGUGGGUUUCUAUUUGGCUCACAAGGUCAAAUUUAAUGACUUAACAUUAUUACCUUAUGUUAAGUUAUGGGCACAUAUACACAUAUAUACAUCUAUACCAAUAUACACCCACAUCAAUGUAAGUAUACUUAUUUUUUUAAAUAUACACCAAUACAUAUAAUCAUAUAAUCUAUGUACAUUGGGUUAGUCCAAAUAAUAUUUGAAUUGGGCUAAAUGGACUUACUUAUACACAUUGGCUUUAAUUAUUAAUCCAACACAUCAUGCCUUAAUUGUUGUCACAAUAUUAUCCUCCCAACAUGCUUAUUUUUCUAAUUACACAUAACUAUAAAAAUUAAUAAUUAAUAUCAAACAUUUAUUUUCUCAGAAUUUAUUCUCUUCCAUAAUUUUAAAAUACAAAUUUAUUGAUUCACCAUAAAUCAUUAUGUAACACAAGGCUCAAUUAUUCAAGCUUAAGCUUCUUAUCAUAAUAUAAUCUUACUUGGUGAUUAUUCAUAUAUUAUAAUCUUACUCUUAAUAUCCCUUCUUAUAUUACAUGUAGGAGGCAAUUUAUUGCAUUAACUAUUUAUAUGAUCACACAACACAUAAUUUUCACAUAACAAAUAAAUAAUUAAAAAUAAAACAAUAAUUAAUCUAUCACAUUAUUUAAUCAUUUUGUCAUUAAUUAAAUUAACAAAUUACUUAGUCCACAUUUAUGCCAUACUUGACACACCACAUAAGCUUAAAUAAGCUCAUUAUCGUUUCCACCACAUUUCUAAAUUAUCACAUACUUCAUUCAAUUUAAUUUGAAUACCACAUUUCAAGACACGCAUAAAUAUAUAUGUAUUCAACAUAAAUAUUCAAAUAUUUUUAUUUUCAUUACUAAUAUUAUUAUUAAAAAAUUCACGGGUAUUACAUAGCACGCGCCAGGCGUCUGACAAGUCGAGCACGUUUUCCAAAAAGACGCAUUUUUGACCAGAUUGUUUUCUUUAAAUAGAUUUCUUUCCAUAUUUUUAGGGAUUCUUUGUAUCUUUUAUAUUUCUAAUGUAAUUAGGAUUCUAUUAGAUAGGGUAUGGUUACUAAAUUAAGGUAUUGAUUCUUUAUAGGAUUCUAGGGUUUCAAGUUAUGAUUAUUUAAAAGGCCUAUUGAUGUAAUUGACAUUAUUCAUUCAAUAUUAUUCAGAUGUAUUCUAUUUUUGAGAUUAUUCUUUACUUUUGGUUCUUUGAAGAAUUUCAAAGUAAUUUCUUAGUUUAUUCUUUGAUAUUCAAUUUGACUUAUCAUACAAAAAUACAUAGUUGUAUGUGGUGUCUUCUACCGCAUCAAUCGUCGAUUGUGUCGAGGUUCAUAUUUCAAUAUAAACACGGGAUUUAGGUGUCGUUGGUGUUCCAUUUAACACUGAUUUCAUUGCUUGAUCGAUUACACCAAGGUUUUCGUCUCAAUAUAGACAUUGGGUUGAAGUGUUGAGAGAGUACCACUUUAUCAUUUGUGAUAGAAACGAUUCGGGCGACGACCAUCUAACGCAAAUGUGUCAUGGAGUCUAUCAGAUGGGCCCCGUGGGUCCCGUCAUCUCAAAGUUUAUUCCUCCGAUCUCGAUCCGGUGAAAGUUGAGCUUCGUACCCAAAAAUUCCAAAAAGCUUGUGCCGAAGGCUACUAAAUAAGGUUGAGUCUGACUGAAUCGGAGUCCGGUAAGAUGGCGUAAUUAGCUGAAAGGUAUCUUCCAAUUCUCGAGGGUUGUCAAUCGGCUCGACUUGACCAGCUUGCAGCUCAAUGAUUAUUGUGGUGACUUUCUUGUGGUCAUGUCUUCAGCUUGUCGAUCCUCGUUCGGACCAUGUCUUGUCUGGGCAUCGUUGCACUUCAAUUUUUCCACGGGGUUGUCUCUGGGGUGAAAUUAUGUCUCUUCCCUCCCUCGAGGUUGUCUCUGAAGUAAAAUUACAUUUUUACCCUUUUGCAAGGUUAGUCCAAGAAAAGAGAAAUUUCGAGUGUCUACAAAGGAUGACCUGACAUAUCUACUGUAGGAUCAUGGGUAUGACAUACAUUUAUAAUUUGAAGCACCCAAGGUUGCCCAACCCUUUUCCUUCCGCAAACUUUAAAAAGACAAUCUAUUGGAUGGCAUGAUACCUUUCUUUUAUGACUUUCUAUCAGAAUAUUUUGUUUAUCCCGAUAAGUACCUCCUCUAUCACAACCAAUAAUCACAAGAUGAUCUUUAACAAAAAAAAAUUAUCGAUGUUGUGUAACCUUGCAUUAAGACAUGUUUGAAUCAUUCCAAUUAAAUCUUCACGUGUUUGAAAUUUGAUCUCUGGAAGUUGUAACGCUCCAUCUAGCUUAUCAAUUUUAUCUUCACACUCCAUAUUUGCACUAGGUAAGUAAUCAUCAUUGGCUAAACAGUUUUCUGAUUUUUUGUUUGCUCCAUAACUCUCCAUGUUUAUAGUUCAAAUCCUACUAAAAUCGGAAUUUAUAAUUAUCAAAUAGGAUGAAAAAGGAGCUCUCCUAAACAACAUUAUGUUUAGAUGAAUUCUUACAAAGAAUAAAAAAUGAUUUAGACAAACUCAAUGCAUAAGAAGCAAAUCAUAUAAUAAAAAUGAUUCAGGCAAACUAAUUGAACUAAAUACAUAAGAAGUAAAUCAUAUAAUAAAAAUGAUUCAGACAAAUUAAUUAAACUAAAUACAUAAGAAGUAAAUUAUCAAUAUGAAUUUUAAUAAGCUUACAUCCCUCAUAUUAUCAAAAAAAAAAAGUUAGGGUUUAUAGUAAAAAAGGAUUGUUCAGGGAGAAAUACUUUAUCUAUUUUAAACUAAAAUAUUACCUCAAUUAUAAAUAAUAAUAAAAAACACAAAAAUCCAUGAAUAAAGUUCAAAAAUUAAAGAGCUAAAUAUGGGAUAUAUGUGAAUUUUUUACCUCAAACUGAACCAAAUUAAAGAAGAGAAAAGAGUUUGAUUUUCAAAUCAAGAUCAUCGAACGAAAAGCUUAGAUCUGUUACAAUACAAAGGCACAUAAAACUCUGUUUGGAAGAGAGAGAUAGAGAGACAAAAAGUUAACGAACAGAGGGAGAAUUAGUUUAGAAACCUGUCACGAACUAGCAAUCUCCUUCUCAUAGUGGAAAAUCAUCCGAUGUUGGGCUAUAGAUUCAUUUCUUCUGUAAAUUCAAUCUCAGCAAAACAGAGAACAAAGGAAAUCUCAUCUCACCUAACUCUUUUGUACACCAAUUAGACCCAAACAUCGAAAUGUUAGGUGAGGACAAUUUGGUAAAACGAAUUUUGUAUUAUUGUUAACUUAUUACAGUUGUCUCAACCAUA